GUAUCCUUUUUGCCCUUUUGAAUGUCUUCUGAUCUUCUCCAUACAUCAAAGAGAAACAGAAGUUUAAUGCUUGCACUUCUCUUCCUGUGUGGAUUGCAAGUUUGGCUCUUCUGUGACAUCU
Molecule: non-coding RNA, 121 nt
Organism: Glycine soja
Lineage: Eukaryota; Viridiplantae; Streptophyta; Magnoliopsida; Fabales; Fabaceae
Source: Rfam